UAGUGGGGGAUAACGUCCGGAAACGGGCGCUAAUACCGCAUACGUCCUGAGGGAGAAAGUGGGGGAUCUUCGGACCUCACGCUAUCAGAUGAGCCUAGGUCGGAUUAGCUAGUUGGUGGGGUAAAGGCCUACCAAGGCGACGAUCCGUAACUGGUCUGAGAGGAUGAUCAGUCACACUGGAACUGAGACACGGUCCAGACUCCUACGGGAGGCAGCAGUGGGGAAUAUUGGACAAUGGGCGAAAGCCUGAUCCAGCCAUGCCGCGUGUGUGAAGAAGGUCUUCGGAUUGUAAAGCACUUUAAGUUGGGAGGAAGGGCAGUAAGUUAAUACCUUGCUGUUUUGACGUUACCAACAGAAUAAGCACCGGCUAACUUCGUGCCAGCAGCCGCGGUAAUACGAAGGGUGCAAGCGUUAAUCGGAAUUACUGGGCGUAAAGCGCGCGUAGGUGGUUCAGCAAGUUGGAUGUGAAAUCCCCGGGCUCAACCUGGGAACUGCAUCCAAAACUACUGAGCUAGAGUACGGUAGAGGGUGGUGGAAUUUCCUGUGUAGCGGUGAAAUGCGUAGAUAUAGGAAGGAACACCAGUGGCGAAGGCGACCACCUGGACUGAUACUGACACUGAGGUGCGAAAGCGUGGGGAGCAA
This 642-nucleotide ribosomal RNA is filed under the name uncultured Pseudomonadaceae bacterium. RNAcentral describes it as "SSU rRNA". It matches the Rfam family "Bacterial small subunit ribosomal RNA", at positions 134 to 771 of the family's 1533-position model. The record is from RNAcentral. Lineage: Bacteria; Pseudomonadati; Pseudomonadota; Gammaproteobacteria; Pseudomonadales; Pseudomonadaceae.